This 492-nucleotide ribosomal RNA is filed under the name uncultured bacterium. RNAcentral describes it as "partial 16S ribosomal RNA". It matches the Rfam family "Bacterial small subunit ribosomal RNA", at positions 29 to 507 of the family's 1533-position model. The record is from RNAcentral.
AGUGAACGCUGGCGGUAGGCCUAACACAUGCAAGUCGAACGGCAGCACAGUAAGAGCUUGCUCUUACGGGUGGCGAGUGGCGGACGGGUGAGGAAUACAUCGGAAUCUACUUUUUCGUGGGGGCUAACGUAGGGGAACUUACGCUAAUACCGCAUACGACCUACGGGUGAAAGCAUGGGAUCUUCGGAUCUUGCGCGAUUGAAUGAGCCGAUGUCGGAUUAGCUAGUUGGCGGGGUAAAGGCCCACCAAGGCGACGAUCCGUAGCUGGUCUGAGAGGAUGAUCAGCCACACUGGAACUGAGACACGGUCCAGACUCCGACGGGAGGCAGCAGUGGGGAAUAUUGGACAAUGGGCGCAAGCCUGAUCCAGCCAUACCGCGUGGGUGAAGAAGGCCUUCGGGUUGUAAAGCCCUUUUGUUGGGAAAGAAAAGCAGCAGGUUAAUACCCCGCUGUUCUGACGGUACCCAAAGAAUAAGCACCGGCUAACUUCGUG